RNAcentral lists this ribosomal RNA (257 nucleotides) under Enterobacter kobei. RNAcentral describes it as "partial 23S ribosomal RNA". It matches the Rfam family "Bacterial large subunit ribosomal RNA", at positions 2674 to 2925 of the family's 2925-position model. The record is from RNAcentral. Lineage: Bacteria; Pseudomonadati; Pseudomonadota; Gammaproteobacteria; Enterobacterales; Enterobacteriaceae.
GCUCCUAGUACGAGAGGACCGGAGUGGACGCAUCACUGGUGUUCGGGUUGUCAUGCCAAUGGCACUGCCCGGUAGCUAAAUGCGGAAGAGAUAAGUGCUGAAAGCAUCUAAGCACGAAACUUGCCCCGAGAUGAGUUCUCCCUGAGACUAUAAGUCUCCUGAAGGAACGUUGAAGACGACGACGUUGAUAGGUCGGGUGUGUAAGCGCAGCGAUGCGUUGAGCUAACCGAUACUAAUGAACCGUGAGGCUUAACCUU